This 292-nucleotide ribosomal RNA is filed under the name uncultured bacterium. RNAcentral describes it as "partial 16S ribosomal RNA". The record is from RNAcentral.
GGACUACUAGGGUUUCUAAUCCUGUUCGCUCCCCACGCUUUCGCUCCUCAGUGUCAGGUAAGGCCCAGAGAACCGCCUUCGCCACCGGUGUUCCUCCUGAUAUCUGCGCAUUUCACCGCUACACCAGGAAUUCCAUUCUCCCCUACCUACCUCUAGUCUGCCCGUAUCCACUGCAAGCCCAGGGUUAAGCCCUAGGAUUUCACAGCAGACGUAACAAACCACCUACGAGCUCUUUACGCCCAAUAAUUCCGGACAACGCUUGCGCCCUACGUGUUACCGCGGCUGCUGGCAC